RNAcentral lists this transfer RNA (72 nucleotides) under Phrynosoma platyrhinos (Desert horned lizard). RNAcentral describes it as "tRNA-OTHER". Lineage: Eukaryota; Metazoa; Chordata; Lepidosauria; Squamata; Phrynosomatidae. The record is from RNAcentral.
GCCAAGGCAGUGUAGUGGUUUGAGCGUUAGAGUAGGGCUCUGGAGACCAGGGUUCGAAUCCCAGCUCGGCCA